CCCCCUUAUUUUUCUCGAUUUUUCUUGUUGAAGCCACGGAUGUCCUCAUCGUGUUCAUCUCAAAUUCUCGCUAGAGACCUCACCAGAGUCGGAGGUAAGCCACAGCCCUCCUUCCUCUCUUCCUUCCCCUCCUUCCCAUGGCUUCGUGCACCCUCACCAGCCAUUGGGCUCGUUGAAAAAUUCACAAAACAACAAGAUCCUAUUUUACUCUGUUCGGC
Molecule: long non-coding RNA, 218 nt
Filed under: Elaeis guineensis (African oil palm)
Lineage: Eukaryota; Viridiplantae; Streptophyta; Magnoliopsida; Arecales; Arecaceae
Description: long non-coding RNA (EGUI_LNC001215)
Source: RNAcentral